AACUUCCCUUUUUCUUUCUGCCUUGCGAACCCCCACCACGAACUCCUUCCCACCCGGCUCCCCUUCUCCCUACCACCGAAUCAGGCGGCCUCCUCUUCUCUCCUCCAGCCUCUCCACCUGACCAGCUCCGUCGGCUCACUCUCCGGCAACCACCGCCAGCGCCACCUCCAUGUCAGGAGAGCACGGGAUGGGAAGGAGCCCGGCCGCUGCCCUCCUCCCUCCCCUGAGCUAGACGCUGUUGGAUUCGGGCUCCCCUGGCAAGGGCACCGCUGGAUCUCGAGUCCGCCGACCCCGACUUCGCCGGAUCCAUGACAGCCCCGCCGCCGCCCAAGCUCCCCGACCCCGCCUUCGCCGGAUCCGGGCCAGCCCCUCCGCCGGGUAAGGCAUUUGGGAGAAGAAGAUUUCUACAUCCCAUAAUUGACUCCAUCCAGCAAGGCUACUCUGAGUCCUGACGGUACAAGCUUCCUCUAAUAAUUACAAAUGAUACAAAAAGCAUGGAGACAAUUACUUCCACUUUUGUAGCUGAAGAUUUGGUUGAACAGACUGCUCUAGAAGCUUCUCAAAACAUGAAUAUAGAUCCCUCAGACCAUGCAAAUGCUCUGCAAAAAGCCAUUGGCAAACAGUACUUCACCAUAGGAAUGAAUCCGGAGUAUUUUUCAAUAUCUCUAUCAAUUAUGUGCUGAAAAAGAGUUAUCCAAUUGACAAUCUAAACUUCGAUACAUUGUUACCAGCCCCACGGGUCACACCACUACUCUUCUCUAAUACUAUCACAUCACUUGAUUAUUUCUUCUAAUAAACUUGCAUUUUCAGGACAACACAAAGAUAUAUUAUCGCUCCAAGCUGCCACCGACAUGAAUUCAUCUCAAAGCUCAAGUACCAAAAGACAGGUUGAUUUUGAGCAGAACAAUGGUGAAGAUAUUCAAAGCAAUGCCAAACCUGAUGCUAAUUACGACAAUGUGAACAAGCGCCACAAACAAAGAUGCAAGUCAAUGUGCAGAGCUGUUGAUGAAUAAGGAUCACACAUGCCCUCCUGAAUGGAUAUGCGCACCUACUGUGCUUCAUGCACAUCCCCCACAUCAGUCAUGAUAAUUACUUCGUUGUGUUUGCGAACUUUUCAAUGAUUUGUGGUGAAGUUGAAUGUA
This is a long non-coding RNA of Brachypodium distachyon (stiff brome), 1142 nucleotides long. RefSeq lists it as uncharacterized. NCBI's taxonomy places the organism in Eukaryota, Viridiplantae, Streptophyta, Magnoliopsida, Poales, Poaceae. The transcript has 6 exons. The record is from RefSeq and is a predicted model, not a curated record.